This 468-nucleotide ribosomal RNA is filed under the name uncultured bacterium. RNAcentral describes it as "partial 16S ribosomal RNA". It matches the Rfam family "Bacterial small subunit ribosomal RNA", at positions 28 to 507 of the family's 1533-position model. The record is from RNAcentral.
GACGAACGCUGGCGGCGUGCUUAACACAUGCAAGUCGAACGGAAAGGCCCUGCUUUUGUGGGGUGCUCGAGUGGCGAACGGGUGAGUAACACGUGAGUAACCUGCCCUUGACUUUGGGAUAACUUCAGGAAACUGGGGCUAAUACCGGAUAGGAGCUCCUGCUGCAUGGUGGGGGUUGGAAAGUUUCGGCGGUUGGGGAUGGACUCGCGGCUUAUCAGCUUGUUGGUGGGGUAGUGGCUUACCAAGGCUUUGACGGGUAGCCGGCCUGAGAGGGUGACCGGCCACAUUGGGACUGAGAUACGGCCCAGACGCCUACGGGAGGCAGCAGUGGGGAAUAUUGCACAAUGGGCGGAAGCCUGAUGCAGCAACGCCCCGUGCGGGAUGACGGCCUUCGGGUUGUAAACCGCUUUCGCCUGUGACGAAGCGUGAGUGACGGUAAUGGGUAAAGAAGCACCGGCUAACUACGUG